This 481-nucleotide ribosomal RNA is filed under the name uncultured bacterium. Its description in RNAcentral is "partial 16S ribosomal RNA". It matches the Rfam family "Bacterial small subunit ribosomal RNA", at positions 28 to 507 of the family's 1533-position model. The record is from RNAcentral.
GAUGAACGCUGGCGGCGUGCUUAACACAUGCAAGUCGAACGAAGCACUUUAUUUGAUUUCCUUCGGGACUGAUUAUUUUGUGACUGAGUGGCGGACGGGUGAGUAACGCGUGGGUAACCUGCCUUGUACAGGGGGAUAACAGUUGGAAACGGCUGCUAAUACCGCAUAAGCGCACGGCAUCGCAUGAUGCAGUGUGAAAAACUCCGGUGGUAUAAGAUGGACCCGCGUUGGAUUAGCUAGUUGGUGAGGUAACGGCCCACCAAGGCGACGAUCCAUAGCCGACCCGAGAGGGUGACCGGCCACAUUGGGACUGAGACACGGCCCAAACUCCUACGGGAGGCAGCAGUGGGGAAUAUUGCACAAUGGGCGAAAGCCUGAUGCAGCGACGCCGCGUGAGCGAAGAAGUAUUUCGGUAUGUAAAGCUCUAUCAGCAGGGAAGAUAAUGACGGUACCUGACUAAGAAGCACCGGCUAAAUACGUG